RNAcentral lists this long non-coding RNA (379 nucleotides) under Physcomitrium patens. RNAcentral's name for it is "long non-coding RNA (PPAT_LNC002659)". The record is from RNAcentral. Lineage: Eukaryota; Viridiplantae; Streptophyta; Bryopsida; Funariales; Funariaceae.
AAACAUUUUGAAGUAUAUAUGAUAUAUUUUAUGUUUCAAAAUCAAUAUUAGUAGACUAGCAUAUAUCAAUAGAUUUCCAUAUAUGUUUUUUGAUAUACAAUGUGUAAUUAAGUCAAUUAAAGUUUUAAUACUUUAUUACCUUCAUUGAGGCCUUUAGCCAUCAUAGAUUUGGGCUACUAUUGAUCUUUGGACUUUAUUAGGCAACUUAUUGUCAAUUCAUAAAGAUCUUUAAACAUGUUAGUGAUUGUAGAGCAUAUUAGUAAAUAAAUUGAAUUCAAUGCUUUGCCACAAAUAUUUUUAGAGUUGGUAAUUAUGUCUUUUUUUAAAAUUGUAUAUUGGUACAUUUUGAAGUACCUUUUGAAGACUUAACAAAUAAAAA